Molecule: non-coding RNA, 73 nt
Organism: Myotis davidii
Lineage: Eukaryota; Metazoa; Chordata; Mammalia; Chiroptera; Vespertilionidae
Source: Rfam
GGUGGUUCUCGGGUGAUGCACCCCAGAAUCAGGCUCCUGCUUCUCUGGUUCCGGGUGCCACCCAAGAACCACA